GCCUGAUGCAUUCAGCCAUGACAACACCAAGCCAGAGUCUGAGGUGGACUCAGACGCGCCUUCCCUGUGAUUGAGCCACAUGACCCAUGAUAGCUGACUUGACCCCACCAGCACCGAGAUAAACUCAGAUGCCCCUGUUUUUAUUAGUCUUUAAAUAUUUUUUUUAAACCAAAUUUAAAUCCCUUUAGUGUUGGGAAUCUGUUAUGUUUCAGACAAUAAAACAACAAAUAACAAGUUUACUUACAGCUGAAGUGGUUUUAAAGAAUUAGGCGAUUUUACCUUUUAUGAAAGUAUUUUAAAUUUAUUGUUUUCAAAGAGAGAGAGAAAAGAACAUUUAACAAUUUACAUUACAAUUACUAAUUUUGUAAAACAAAACAAAACACUCCUUUGUUCUUGUUUUUAUAUUACAGUGUUGUCAGUCUAAAAGUAUUUCAAGAUCAUUGUUUUACUAUUCUUCUUUUUUUCCCAACAUUUAGCACUUUUUGUUAGCGGUACAGCUUUAGGUCUCUGCAUUUGCCAUAGAUGAAUAAAUUUAUGAUCUGCUUUUCUGCAGCUACUGGCGCCCGAUUUUGUACAUAUAGAUAUUUGAAAACAGUUAAUAAAGGUAACAACAAUGAAAAUGCCUUAAAUUAGUUACUAAAGCAACUUAGGUUUAUAUAAAAAAAAAAUUCCCCUGAAAUGCUUUAAUAUUGUAAAAUAGAAAUAUAGGAAAGACAAACCAUAGAAUGACACGGCAAUUUAUUUAUUGUAAAACUAAAUUAAAACUAAUAAAAUAUCUAAAAAUAAAGAAGGCAUCUCCUGACCACGAGCACAAGUGCUUUUAUAUCUGAGAGGCGUAGAGAAAAAUUUUACAGUGUAUCAAAUACAAAUAUCGAAAUUAAAAAAUAUUUUCAUAGAAUAAUAAAUAUUUCGAUACAAUAUAUUCUUACGCUCUUAGAAAUGUCCAAAGAAAGUCUGAGGAGUGGUGGGGGGCUAGUUGUACUUAAGUUAAAAAAAAAAAAAAGUCACUGAUAAAAUAUCUUCAGUAUACCUGUGGUUCUUUGUUUACAUUCUCAAGUUAGAUAUUUGACAAAGAGUAAAUGUUAUCUCUUUCUACACGUUAAAGGACACUUAUCAUUUUUUAUUUCGCGCGUUAAAUUUCAAAAUAUAUUUUCAAAUAAUAAUGCUCACAAGCAUCUUUCGCAAUUUAACACCUCUUGGUCUCCAUAAGGUUAAUAUUAUUUUUUUUGUAACUAAGAGAUUGUUAGUUAUUAUUUUGAAAUGUUGUCUUUAAAAGGGUUCUCAUAUUCUCUUGUUUACAAUUAAAGUCAGGUUAGAGGUUAGAUCAAGAACGACCAUGAUAUAAUCAACAGUGGGUUAACUCCUUGUACCUGAUGACUAGUGCGUGUGUGCUAGUGACUGUGCGUGUGCAGUGGUUAACUCAAAAUGAAAUACAAUCUUUUAGCCAAGAAGCCUUCAAGGUAUUAGACUUGGAUAAGUUAUAAGGCACAAUUUGGAUUAUAGAUUAUAAACACAAGGUAAUAAGACCAACCAAAUAAAUAAAUAGUGUGUGACGUUUCGGUAACAGCAUUUUUCAGCACUUUUGUCUGAAGAUGGUAACAACACUGUUACAGAAACGUCACACACUAUUUAUUUCUAAACGAGGUAAAAUCUUCCCAAUUACAUGCGUGGUAAGGACAAAAUACUCAGGAGAUAAGUUUCUUCAUUGUGAAUGAAGAAACUUAUCUCCUGAGUAUUUUGUCCUUACCACACACUAUUUAUUUAUUUGGAUUUGGUUUUAUUACCUUGUGUUUAGCAGACACCAUCAAGGGUCACAACUUGAUACUCUAAUAUGAUUGAGUGGAGAUAAGAAAGAAGACCAAUUAGACCAAGACCAAACGGGGGCAACUCCGAUAGUCGUGGUGCCUCUGAAUAACUAUGGCGGAUCGCUCAGUCUUAGCACUGGCGACGCAUCUUUCAAGUGUCUGCCUUAUCAACUUUCGAUGGUAGGUUAUGCGCCUACCAUGGUUGUUACGGGUAACGGGGAAUCAGGGUUCGAUUCCGGAGAGGGAGCCUGAGAAACGGCUACCACAUCCAAGGAAGGCAGCAGGCGCGCAAAUUACCCACUCCCGGCACGGGGAGGUAGUGACGAAAAAUAACAAUACGGGACUCUAACGAGGCUCCGUAAUUGGAAUGAGUACACUCUAAACCUUUUAACAAGGAUCUAUUGGAGGGCAAGUCUAGUGCCAGCAGCCGCGGUAAUUCUAGCUCCAAUAGCGUAUAUUAAGGUUGUUGCGGUUAAAAAGCUCGUAGUUGGAUCUCAGUCGCGCUCCCUUCGAUGCGUUGCAAAGCGUCUAUCGUUGGGGCCGACAGCACGUUGGUGGGCCCGGUUGGCUUUUACCGGUUGAUCGGGUUCUCCGGCAAUUUUACUUUGAAAAAAUUAGGGUGCUCAAAGCAGGCUGGUGCCUGGAAAUUGGUGCAUGGAAUAAUGGAAUAGGACCUCGGUUCUAUUUUGUUGGUUUUCGGAUCCCGAGGUAAUGAUUGAGAGGGACAGACGGGGGCAUUCGUAUUGCGGCGCUAGAGGUGAAAUUCUUGGACCGCUGCAAGACGAACUACUGCGAAAGCAUUUGCCAAGAAUGUUUUCAUUAAUCAAGAACGAAAGGUAGUGGUUCGAAGGCGAUCAGAUACCGCCCUAGUUCUAACCAUAAACGAUGCCAACCAGCGAUCCGCCUGAGUUCCUUAAACGACUCGGCGGGCAGCUUCCGGGAAACCAAAGUUUUUGGGUUCCGGGGGAAGUAUGGUUGCAAAGCUGAAACUUAAAGGAAUUGACGGAAGGGCACCACCAGGAGUGGAGCCUGCGGCAAAUGGGGCCCGUCGUUAACACCUUGGGACUUUUAAGACAGUUGGUGAUUGUGUGCGACACGAACGGCCGCUCAGCGGUGGCAGGCCCGGCUCUCUCCCCCGUCUCUCUCUCUGGUUGUCUGGGAUUCCUCUUCCAAACUUGUGGUGCCCUUAUUUCUCUCCCCACCUCAUCAUAUUUCCACAUGUAUGUCAUAAUAUAUACUCUUCCAGAAAUAAUAAAGCAAACCUACAGUAAACCCAGAGAGAGACGGGUGGAUAAGGACUGGCCACUUUAGACAUCAGCGACAUUCCAAGGGGCGACUACUGGGGCCCGUUACUUGGAACCUCUGGACUUUUAAGACAGUUGGGGAUUGUGUGAGACACAAACGGCCGCCCGGCUGUGCCUGUCUCGUCUCUCUCUCUCUCUGGUUGCCUGGGUUCCUCUUCCAAAUUGUGGUGUGAUUAUUUCUCUUCCCACCUUAUUAUAUUGUCACAUAUGUAUACAUUUUUGCUUAUCCCUAGUACACAUGGUACAGGCCAUGAUAAUCAUGGUGGGUAGAAGUAGGCGACUGCUUUUACUGUAAGUGCACCACAUGUUUACACAUGUGAAAAGCAGUUCGACUUUGUGCUUACAAAUGUGCCAGAGCCCUGUUUGGUUACUUGCACCUGCUGGUGGAGUUGGA
RNAcentral lists this ribosomal RNA (3503 nucleotides) under Cordylochernes scorpioides. Its description in RNAcentral is "5.8S ribosomal RNA". The stretch from base 1639 to 3503 matches the Rfam family "Eukaryotic small subunit ribosomal RNA", at positions 1 to 1426 of the family's 1831-position model. Lineage: Eukaryota; Metazoa; Arthropoda; Arachnida; Pseudoscorpiones; Chernetidae. The record is from RNAcentral.